Molecule: small nucleolar RNA, 223 nt
Filed under: Glossina brevipalpis
Lineage: Eukaryota; Metazoa; Arthropoda; Insecta; Diptera; Glossinidae
Description: small nucleolar RNA U3
Rfam family: Small nucleolar RNA U3
About the family: Small nucleolar RNAs (snoRNAs) are involved in the processing and modification of rRNA in the nucleolus. There are two main classes of snoRNAs: the box C/D class, and the box H/ACA class.
Source: RNAcentral
AAGACUAUACUUCACAGGAUCAUUUCUGUAGUCAGUCUUCAUAUAUUUCUAUCGCAAGAUAGUAAUAACUCAAACCGCGAUGAAGAGUUAAAUCGUUUUACCUUGAGCGUGAGGUUAUGAACUUUGUGUUCUGAUUUGCUCCAUUUGGUGCAAAUUGGGGACAAUGUUUCUUCGAUGAUCGCUUAUGCCCUGUGCCCUAAGGGUAAAACGAUUUCAGAGUGGU